GCUCUUUCUACAUGUGCCCACCCCCAGGCAGCUUCUGGGGCUCCUUGUCCCUGCUGCUGCACUUGCUGCCUGCAUGUGGGGUGCUCUGUUGCCACAGCAGCACUUGGCCUGUGUGAGGACCCUGGCAUGUUGCCCUUUGCAUGCAGAGGCAGCCUCCUCGUAGAGUGUGUGCGCUUGCUGACAUCCUGACCCUACGUGGAAGGGGUGGGGCAACAGGGAGCUUGCCCUGUAGCAAGGGCAGCAGGCUGGGAGCGUGUGGGAGGUGGCGUCAUUAACCUGGCUGGCUCCCCUUUGCUCAUUAAUAUGUUGCUGGGGCUGAUGGGUCAGCUGGGUUUCAAGCUUUGCUUAGGUUGCCUCUGCAGUUCCUGGGGUGCCUCUCCACUGGGCCCUGUGCCCGGCCCACCACAUGCUUAGCCUGGGAAUGGAGUCUGCUCUCAGUGGAGCGGGCCCAUCGCGUUCUGCUCAUCAGCCGUAAGACUAGACCUAUGGCAGACUUUGUGCAGGCUGGGCCUGGUUCAGGGCCAUCCAGAAUAACGCCCCCUUUUUGUCUGGAAGCAGCUGGUCUCUGCCCCCGCAAUUCGGGAAGGGUUAAUUCUCUAAACUGGCCGAUUCCAGCCCAUUAGUCCAUAAUGCGGACUAGGCAAUUUGCAUAUUUUUGGACAGAAAAGUACACGAAGGGGCCAAGUAUGGAGUGUGCGAGGCAAUGUCUGAGCAUGCUCCGUAGCUGCUUUCCCGCAGGAUUUUCCAUCUGCCUCCGGUACUCCGGAUCCAGAGCCUGAAAUCACGUCUCUUUGUUAAUCCAGGGGAGCCAGAACUCAGGGUGAUGGGAAGGCGCAUUAAGAGUAAUCCAGCAAAGUGGCUUAGCCAUUAAUGGGUCCCCGCUCCGUGCGUCAGGUCCAGUCCUGUGCUCCUGUUUUAUUGCCUCCACUCCAGUUCUUUUUCAUUUGGCUGAGGAAAUGGAAAUCUCACACAGGAAGUGCUGGGCCUCAUUUUGUGGAGAUGGAGUCUGUUUUCUGUUUGUCGGCUGCUCGAUGUGGGACCGUUGCCUGCUCAUGUGAACUGCUGCCCAUCUUUGGGCAGGAACUCAAACUCGGAGGGGUCACGUGAGCAGGCUCACACCAAUCCCGCACUCCCCUCGCGCUGCCUGUGCCGGGAGCCGCCAGGCCCUCUGCGCCGGGCAGGCCUCAAGAUGGAAUCUCUGAUUGGGCUCAUGCAGCCAGCACACCACGCUCCAGGGAAGAGCUGCCUCCUCCGCGGUCAGGGCGCAGACUUGGGGUGGCGUCUCAUGUGGGGACUGGGCCACUUUGGCUCUAGGCAUCCCAGCAGGUGCAGGCUCCCAGAGUCCUCUCUCGCAGGAAGAGGUCAUCACCCAGCCCCAGGGAGGUCAUGGAAGCACAUGGAGGUCAAGGAGCACAUGGAAGUGGAGACCUUGGACCAUGGGCAGCUGUUGGGUGUGGGCCCCACCACAGUGAGCCUCUGCCCUGCCCAGCACUGGCUGCAGGGUGGAGUCUACCUGAGCUUCAUGUUGUGGUGGUGGUGGUGGCUCAGUAGGCACAGCCACUUCCCCUGCCUCACUUUCUCACUGCCCAUCUCUGCCCAGUUCCAGUCCCAUCACCGUGCUGGAUGACAAGCCCGUUCAGACCGGGGCUGAGUGGCUUUCAUGGCUUUUCUCUGUUCCGUCUUUGGGGUUCGCCCAUCCAUUCUUUCAGCUAGUGCGCCUUUGCUUGGAUCCCAGCACCCUUGUGCGCUGGAGGUUCACAACCACAUUGAGAAACAGACUGUAGUUCUGGCACCAUGUCUCCAUUCUAGUGACAUAGGGCUGUAGCCAGCAAAGCUGCCUGGCACAACCUCCUCCCCCAAAUUUUCACGCAUCUUGUUGAGGGCAGACUGGGGAAGCAGCGACACUGGGUUGGCAUUCUUGCUGUAUGUUGGCACGAGCCUACGUGCUAGUUGUGGGCCUGUGCAGUCAACAGGCGGAGCUUCCAAGCCUAGGGCUCUUGGCAAAUGGUGUGAAGACGGCUGGUGGGUAAAGCAAAAGCAGAGCAGCAAGCGUGCUGGGGGUGCCAAGCACAAGGACAGGAUGAGUUUGGGGAGGGACGUGUGAGCAUACCAAAGGCAGGUGAGUAAGGAGGUGGUGUGACAUCAAAUACACGGUGGGCUUAGCUCGUGGCUGGGGCGAGGGGGCAGCCGGUGAGCCCUCCCCCCACGGUGAGCACUGGUGUGGCACCCUUCCCUUCCAUGCUGCCUGCUCAGGGCUGACUGGGACCUGGCCAGUUAGUGCUACUUCACCAUUGCCUUCAGAGCCUCCUGUGGGCUCUGAACUAGGGGGUGUCCUGGAGGCACAGCAUGGAAUCUGUACACCCCGAAUAGCCCAGCCCCAGUACAGCAACCCUGCCCAGGGCUGGGUCCUGCUCAGCCCCCAUGUGGUGACACUUCCCAGCAGCUCACCCAACUUUGGGGUCUGGACCAGCGGAGUGGCCUGUCGAGACUGGCCAUGGAGGCCAGGAUGAUGAGGUGGUGCAUCCCGAGGCCCCUGCUCAUGCUGCCUUCUCCCUGUUCGUGAUCACUUGUGCUCAAGGAGAGUGCUGGGGGACUUUGAGAAUGCCUAAACUCAGCCCAGCUGUGGCAGUUGGUUUAUUGCUUUCAGCUGGUACUUGAACCCAGGUCCUGGUCUUGGAGUCUUUCCCAGGUUUAAUCCCCGGAGCUUUCUCUGCAGCUGUAUGACACUGCGCUGACCCCGAAUGAGGAUAGGAAAAUAGAACCGGUGCCAAGCCAGAGUCUCUUUUUCAUUUGGAGUCUGGCUGUCUGCCCAUGACCAGGGUUACAUAAUGGGAAACAUAGCUGGGGCUCUGGAGAGCCCGCGUUUCACCACGCUGCCCAGACCUUCGCAUUCUGAUGCUAUAUAUCUUCCUAAUUGUAGCUCGGAUGCAUUUAUCACACUGCUGGAUUUGAGUCCUUACAUUAAAAAAAACACCAAAUUC
Molecule: long non-coding RNA, 2981 nt
Organism: Gavialis gangeticus (Gharial)
Lineage: Eukaryota; Metazoa; Chordata; Crocodylia; Gavialidae
Exons: 2
Source: RefSeq, a predicted model, not a curated record